GAUGAACGCUGGCGGCGUGCCUAAUACAUGCAAGUCGAGCGAACAGACGAGGAGCUUGCUCCUCUGACGUUAGCGGCGGACGGGUGAGUAACACGUGGAUAACCUACCUAUAAGACUGGGAUAACUUCGGGAAACCGGAGCUAAUACCGGAUAAUAUAUUGAACCGCAUGGUUCAAUAGUGAAAGACGGUUUUGCUGUCACUUAUAGAUGGAUCCGCGCCGCAUUAGCUAGUUGGUAAGGUAACGGCUUACCAAGGCAACGAUGCGUAGCCGACCUGAGAGGGUGAUCAGCCACACUGGAACUGAGACACGGUCCAGACUCCUACGGGAGGCAGCAGUGGGGAAUCUUCCGCAAUGGGCGAAAGCCUGACGGAGCAACGCCGCGUGAGUGAUGAAGGUCUUCGGAUCGUAAAACUCUGUUAUUAGGGAAGAACAAAUGUGUAAGUAACUAUGGACGUCUUGACGGUACCUAAUCAGAAAGCCACGGCUAACUACGUG
Molecule: ribosomal RNA, 497 nt
Filed under: uncultured bacterium
Lineage: Bacteria
Description: partial 16S ribosomal RNA
Rfam family: Bacterial small subunit ribosomal RNA
Source: RNAcentral